Long non-coding RNA from Erigeron canadensis, 564 nucleotides. RefSeq lists it as uncharacterized. The record is from RefSeq and is a predicted model, not a curated record. Lineage: Eukaryota; Viridiplantae; Streptophyta; Magnoliopsida; Asterales; Asteraceae. The transcript is spliced from 5 exons.
AUAAUCAAAAUAUGCAGCAAUCGGUGGAUGGAGAUCUAUCUUUGUGAACUCAAAAGGAUAUGCAGGUUUAAAGGACAUGGAUUUUUGUGUCAGAAUUUCCAAGUUUCAAUUAGUUCACAAGUUGGAGGAUGAACUUGAUGGAUGGCUGCUUAGGGAUUGUGGUUUAACCAAGUAAAUUUUACUUGGAUGGUUAUGUUAAUUCUUGUGAAAGGUUGUAGAUUGCAUAUAGAAUGUGAAGAGUACAAGGUCUGAUGCACAUUAAGAGAUGAGGUUGAGUGGGUCAUUGAAGUUCUGGUUCGGGAUGAUGUUAAAAUAUACCUCACCAAGCUUGAAGGUUGCUUUGAGAUUAUUGUUAUCUCUGUCACUAAGGAAGGUGUGAAGUUCUGAACCAGGGGUGAUAUUGGAACUGCAAAUGUUGUUUGCAGACAGAACACAACAGUCAACAAGGUGUUCAAUGAUGCUCAAAGAAAUGCUUGUAUGUGGAUGAGAGAAUAUGAAACUUCAAAAAGAGAUUGCAGCUUCGAAAAGAGAAACUAGAAAUGAAGCUCAAUUUGACUGUAGAUU